RNAcentral lists this unclassified non-coding RNA (443 nucleotides) under Hevea brasiliensis (rubber tree). Lineage: Eukaryota; Viridiplantae; Streptophyta; Magnoliopsida; Malpighiales; Euphorbiaceae. The record is from RNAcentral.
CCAAAACAAGCCACCUUAAUGGGUGUGCUUUGGUUCUCCAUACCAUUUUCCAUGGCCAAUCCAGUACAUAAUGAUCAGAUUGUUUCAGAAUGCAAAUGCAGCUCAAGAUAUGGAUGAUUGUUCAGUUGAUGAUAAUUUGUCUUGCAAUUGGUUUGGUCUUCCCAUCAAAUCACCCACUACAGUUCCAUUAUCUUUGAAAUGAAAUUUUGACUGUCGUGGGCCCAUUCUGUCUUGAAUUCUUGAGUGAGUACAAUUCAGCUUCUUCCAUUUCAAUCUUUGAUACACAUGGUUCCCUCAUUGAAAGUAGUAUUUCUUGGAGAACACCGGAUACUCCUAACAGUACUUCACUUGUCAUCACUUAUGACAUCCAGUUAAAUACUCUUGAUACAGCUGAAAUUUUUUCUGGAAACCUAAAUCCUUUUGUUUCAACAAUCUAAAAGUUU